GAAUCUUGGACAAUGGGGGCAACCCUGAUCCAGCCAUGCCGCGUGAACGAUGAAGGCCUUAGGGUUGUAAAGUUCUUUCAGCGAGGAAGAUAAUGACGGUACUCGCAGAAGAAGCCCCGGCUAACUCCGUACCAGCAGCCGCGGUAAUACGGAGGGGGCUAGCGUUGUUCGGAAUUACUGGGCGUAAAGCGCACGUAGGCGGAUCAGUCAGUCAGGGGUGAAAUCCCGGGGCUCAACCCCGGAACUGCCUUUGAUACUGCUGGUCUGGAGGUCGAGAGAGGUGAGUGGAAUUCCGAGUGUAGAGGUGAAAUUCGUAGAUAUUCGGAGGAACACCAGUGGCGAAGGCGGCUCACUGGCUCGAUACUGACGCUGAGGUGCGAAAGCGUGGGGAGCAAACAGG
Molecule: ribosomal RNA, 400 nt
Filed under: uncultured bacterium
Lineage: Bacteria
Description: bacterial SSU rRNA
Rfam family: Bacterial small subunit ribosomal RNA
Source: RNAcentral